This 428-nucleotide ribosomal RNA is filed under the name uncultured archaeon. Its description in RNAcentral is "bacterial SSU rRNA". It matches the Rfam family "Archaeal small subunit ribosomal RNA", at positions 474 to 903 of the family's 1478-position model. The record is from RNAcentral.
UACCUGAGCCACAAAUGGUAAUCACGUUUAUUGGGUCUAAAGCGUCCGUAGCCGGUCUAACAAGUUCCUGUGAAAUCUGGCAGCAAACUGUCAGGCAUGCUGGGAAUACUACUAGACUUGGAAUCGGGAGAGGUCGGGGGUAUUCCACGUGUAGGGGUUAAAUCCUUUAAUCCGUGGAGGACCACCUGUGGCGAAGGCGCCCGACUAGAACGAGUUCGACGGUGAGGGACGAAAGCGUGGGGAGCAAAUGGGAUUAGAUACCCCAGUAGUCCACGCUGUAAACGAUGUCCGUUUAGUGUCGCAAACCCUACGGGGGUUUGCGGUGCUGGAGCGUAGGUGUUAAACGGACCACCUGGGGACUACGACCGCAAGGUUGAAACUUAAAGGAAUUGGCGGGGGAGCACCACAAGGCGUGAAGCUUGCGGUUC